RNAcentral lists this ribosomal RNA (409 nucleotides) under bacterium. RNAcentral describes it as "partial 16S ribosomal RNA". It matches the Rfam family "Bacterial small subunit ribosomal RNA", at positions 355 to 776 of the family's 1533-position model. The record is from RNAcentral.
UGGGGAAUAUUGCACAAUGGGGGAAACCCUGAUGCAGCAACGCCGCGUGCGGGAUGACGGCCUUCGGGUUGUAAACCGCUUUCAGCCAUGACGAAGCUUUUGUGACGGUAGUGGCAGAAGAAGCACCGGCUAACUACGUGCCAGCAGCCGCGGUGAUACGUAGGGUGCGAGCGUUGUCCGGAAUUAUUGGGCGUAAAGAGCUUGUAGGCGGUUUGUCACGUCGAAAGUGUAAACUCAGUGCUUAACGCUGAGCCUGCUUUCGAUACGGGCUGACUAGAGGAAGGUAGGGGAGAAUGGAAUUCCCGGUGGAGCGGUGGAAUGCGCAGAUAUCGGGAGGAACACCAGUGGCGAAGGCGGUUCUCUGGACCUUUCCUGACGCUGAGAAGCGAAAGCGUGGGUAGCAAACAGG